UUUAACGGAGAGUUUGAUUCUGGCUCAGAACGAACGCUGGCGGCGUGGAUAAGACAUGCAAGUCGAGCGAGAUUUUUUCCUGUAGCAAUACAGGGAAACGUCUAGCGGCGAACGGGUGCUUAACACGUGGGCAAUCUGCCAAGAAGUGGGGGAUAGCUCGCCGAAAGGCGAAUUAAUACCGCAUGUGAUCAGAGUGGACAUCCAUUCGAAAUCAAAGUCGGGGCAACCUGACGCUUUUUGAGGAGCCCGCGGCCUAUCAGCUAGUUGGUGAGGUAACGGCCCACCAAGGCUUAGACGGGUAGCUGGUCUGAGAGGACGACCAGCCACACUGGGACUGAGACACGGCCCAGACACCUACGGGUGGCAGCAGUCGAGAAUUUUUCUCAAUGGGGGAAACCCUGAAGGAGCGACGCCGCGUGGAGGAUGAAGGUCUUCGGAUUGUAAACUCCUGUCAUUGGGGAACAAUGCGUAAAUAUUAACUGUAUUUGCGUUGAUAGUACCCGAAGAGGAAGAGACGGCUAACUCUGUGCCAGCAGCCGCGGUAAUACAGAGGUCUCAAGCGUUGUUCGGAUUCAUUGGGCGUAAAGGGUGCGUAGGCGGCGCGGUAAGUCGGGUGUGAAAUCUCGGAGCUUAACUCCGAAACUGCAUUCGAUACUGCCGUGCUUGAGGACUGGAGAG
Molecule: ribosomal RNA, 678 nt
Filed under: Verrucomicrobiota bacterium
Lineage: Bacteria; Pseudomonadati; Verrucomicrobiota
Description: bacterial SSU rRNA
Rfam family: Bacterial small subunit ribosomal RNA
Source: RNAcentral